RNAcentral lists this ribosomal RNA (253 nucleotides) under uncultured bacterium. RNAcentral's name for it is "partial 16S ribosomal RNA". It matches the Rfam family "Bacterial small subunit ribosomal RNA", at positions 524 to 776 of the family's 1533-position model. The record is from RNAcentral.
UACGUAUGGUGCGAACGUUGUUCGGAAUCACUGGGCAUAAAGAGCACGUAGGCGGUCAGGCAAGUCCGUGGUGAAAUCCCCCAGCCCAACUGGGGAACUGCUUCGGAUACUACCUGACUUGAGUGCAGGAGGGGAGAGUGGAAUUCCAGGUGGAGCGGUGAAAUGCGUAGAUAUCUGGAGGAACGCCGGCGGCGAAAGCGACUCUCUGGUCUGCAACUGACGCUGAGGUGCGAAAGCUAGGGGAGCAAACGGG